Long non-coding RNA from Solea senegalensis (Senegalese sole), 736 nucleotides. RefSeq lists it as uncharacterized. The transcript is spliced from 3 exons. Lineage: Eukaryota; Metazoa; Chordata; Actinopteri; Pleuronectiformes; Soleidae. The record is from RefSeq and is a predicted model, not a curated record.
AACAGAAAUAAAUGAGGUUAAGACGUGAUGUACAGUACAUCCACUCUGAUUCCAACACAGGGGUCUGAGAACCACAUACUACUGCCCACUACAAAUUCAGCAUUUUGACAGCUGGUGGAUGGACGGAGGAUGGACGGAGGAUGGCAGACUCCUUUACUCAAAGAGGCCCUUGUCGUUAUCCAUACACACACACACACACACGGGGGUGAAACACGCCUCAUUUACACUGCAUCUUCUCUGGUCCACCGAAAAAACACAGACGAUACUCUGUGUCACUCAAUAUGGGCCCCCUAUCUCCUCAACACUGACUACUUCCCUCCCAUCAUCCUUCUGGCUCUGGCUCUCUUCUGCCCUUCCCUGUCUCCCUUACAUGGCAAUAGUCCACCAGCAUGUAGGUAGAUGCCUCUGUGGUUCCUGGCUUGGGAUUGACUCCCUGUCACAUCAAUCCUCUUCCUCCAACAGGAGGUUUCCUUCACCAGCUUUUCCACUGCCACCAUCAUCUGUCACCACGACUGAGAGGAAGGAUGAAGAUAAUUACAAGACACAGGCAGCAGUAACUCACCCCAUAAGGUUAAUGUUAAUAACAUGGGUAGCCAGGAGCUGUGACUGUCAGUCUGACACUGUUCACCAAUUACAGCAAAUGACUGUAAACAAUCCAUCAUUAAAGCUGCUGUAGUCCACCUGUUAUACAAAAGAAACAUGAAGGGAUCCAUCAUACUAUAGGACCAAUAGUAAA